This 1031-nucleotide long non-coding RNA is filed under the name Capra hircus (goat). RNAcentral describes it as "lncRNA (ENSCHIG00010004309.1)". The record is from RNAcentral. Lineage: Eukaryota; Metazoa; Chordata; Mammalia; Artiodactyla; Bovidae.
CGUCCGCAGACCGACCCAAACAAAAGCUCUGUCCUCCUGGGGCUCGGGCGGCCUCGCCUCUCCACGGUGCCCGAUUCGCCGGGCUUCUGGAGGGUCACGAUGGAGGCCACAACGUGUGCCCUGCCGGCGCCGCCACUUUGUGCAAAAUGUGCUGUCAGAGGCGGCCUGCAGCUCCUAGGUGCACGUGUGUGUGUGUGUGUGUGUGUGUGUGUGUGUGUUACGAACAAGAGGGGAAAAGCCAGCUAAUGCAUACUUGAUUUUGGUAAUCUCCAAAGACAAUCGCAACAGUUAGAGAAAGACUUUACCGAAAGCUCCGGCGUCUUAGUUCGCUGCGGGAAGCUGGGAUCCUUGCUGAGUCUGAGCCGGUACACAAUGAGAGGGAAGAGCCGGGCUGCGCCUGUGGAGACAACCGAUUCAUUCUUUAGAGGUUGGAGGGGGAAAGUUGAUUAAAGUCUCCAGGGUCUUGGGCCUCACUUUUAACAUGCAUCCCUUGAGGGAGUGCUGGAGCCCCUGAAUUCUUCCCUCCCUUCCUCCCAGCCCCAACCUAUGCUCUUUUAUCAUGCAUCUUUCAUUUUUAAGUUAACGCUGUGCUUUUAGGGAGAAAAAAGGCUCUGGGCUAUUUAGCAGUUGAGGGGAAGAGAUCUGUUCCCUACAUGGACUAUGGCUGCAGAAUUAGUUUGGACUAAAAUCUAGCUAAUAUUUUUUCGUAGUAGAAAAACAAUCUGGAAGGAAGUUUUGUGUGAAUUUUGAUUUCUUGGAGAUGACUUUGGGGAAGUGGGAACCACAGUUUCCAAAGAUGAUUCUGAAACUGAUCCUAUAGUGUGGUUGUGCUAAUCUGGAGACUCCUCCGGGGUAAAUACAGCUCCUAAUCGUAAUUAAGAUGUACAUCAGCAGGGAGUGCACCUUCCUGAUGAAAAAUCCUAAUGAAAUGUAAACAGCCUGGUCACAUGGAUGUUUGCUUCCUUGAUGCCAAACAUCUGGUUCCAUGCCACACACCUGGGUGAAAAGUAAAAAAUGGGCCAUACUGCCUA